This 1028-nucleotide ribosomal RNA is filed under the name Bacillus subtilis. RNAcentral's name for it is "bacterial SSU rRNA". It matches the Rfam family "Bacterial small subunit ribosomal RNA", at positions 131 to 1160 of the family's 1533-position model. The record is from RNAcentral. Lineage: Bacteria; Bacillati; Bacillota; Bacilli; Caryophanales; Bacillaceae.
ACUGGGAUCGGGAAACCGGUUGAUCGGCUAAUACCGGAUAACAUUUUGAACCGCAUGGUUCGAAAUUGUUGACAAAGGCGGCUUCGGCUGUCACUUAUGGAUGGACCCGCGUCGCAUUAGCUAGUUGGUGAGGACGGCUCACCAAGGCAACGAUGGCCGACCUGAGAGGGUGAUCGGCCACACUGGGACUGAGACACGGCCCAGACUAACGAUCCUACGGGAGGCAGCAGUAGGGAAUCUUCCGCAAUGGACGAAAGUCUGACGGAGCAACGCCGCGUGAGUGAUGAAGGCUUUCGGGUCGUAAAACUCUGUUGUUAGGGAAGAACAAGUGCUAGUUGAAUAAGGCACCUUGACGGUACCUAACCAGAAACGGCUAACUACGUGCCAGCAGCCGCGGUAAUACGUAGGUGGCAAGCGUUCGGAAUUAUUGGGCGUAAUUGACCAUAGCGCGCGCAGGUGGUUUCUUAAGUCUGAUGUGAAAGCCCACGGCUCAACCGUGGAGGGUCAUUGGAAGGGAGACUUGAGUGCAGAAGAGGAAAGUGGAAUUCCAUGUGUAGCGGUGAAAUGCGUAGAGAUAUGGAGGAACACCAGUGGCGAAGGCGACUUUCUGGUCUGUAACUGACACUGAGGCGCGAAAGCGUGGGGAGCAAACAGGAUUAGAUACCCUGGUAGUCCACGCCGUAAACGAUGAGUGCUAAGUGUUAGAGGGUUUCCGCCCUUUAGUGCUGAAGUUAACGCAUUAAGCACUCCGCCUGGGGAGUACGGCCGCAAGGCUGAAACUCAAAGGAAUUGACCAGUCACGGGGGCCCGCACAAGCGGUGGAGCAUGUGGUUUAAUUUCGAAGCAACGCGAAGACCUUACCAGGUCUUGACAUCCUCUAAAUCCCUAGAGAUAGGGCUUCUCUUCGGGAGCAGAGUGACAGUGUGCAUGUCGUCAGCUCGUGUCGUGAGAUGUGGGUCAGUCCCGCACGAGGCGCAUCCUUGAUCUUAGUGCAUCAUAGUGGCACUCUAAGGUGACUUGAUCUGCCG